GUGUCAGCAGCCGCGGUAAUACGGAGGGUGCAAGCGUUAUUCGGAUUUACUGGGCGUAAAGGGCGCGUAGGCGGUUGGACAAGUCAGGUGUGAAAUCCCGGGGCUUAACUCCGGAAGUGCAUCUGAAACUGUUCGGCUUGAGUAUGGUAGAGGGAAGUGGAAUUCCUGGUGUAGCGGUGAAAUGCGUAGAUAUCAGGAGGAACACCGGUGGCGAAGGCGACUUCCUGGACCAAAACUGACGCUGAGGCGCGAAGGUGUGGGGAGCAAACAGGAUUAGAUACCCCAGUAGUCC
This 292-nucleotide ribosomal RNA is filed under the name uncultured bacterium. RNAcentral's name for it is "partial 16S ribosomal RNA". It matches the Rfam family "Bacterial small subunit ribosomal RNA", at positions 505 to 796 of the family's 1533-position model. The record is from RNAcentral.